UGGGCACUCUAAGGAGACUGCCGGUGACAACCGGAGGAAGGUGGGGAUGACGUCAAGUCAUCAUGGCCCUUACGGCCUGGGCUACACACGUGCUACAAUGGUCGGUACAAAGGGUUGCCAAGCCGCGAGGUGGAGCUAAUACCCAUAAAACCGAUCGUAGUCCGGAUCGCAGUCUGCAACUCGACUGCGUGAAGUCGGAAUCACUAGUAAUCGUGAAUCAGAAUGUCACGGUGAAUACGUUCCCGGGCCUU
This 251-nucleotide ribosomal RNA is filed under the name uncultured Pseudomonas sp. RNAcentral describes it as "partial 16S ribosomal RNA". It matches the Rfam family "Bacterial small subunit ribosomal RNA", at positions 1132 to 1382 of the family's 1533-position model. Lineage: Bacteria; Pseudomonadati; Pseudomonadota; Gammaproteobacteria; Pseudomonadales; Pseudomonadaceae. The record is from RNAcentral.